This 1453-nucleotide long non-coding RNA is filed under the name Salvia miltiorrhiza (redroot sage). RNAcentral describes it as "long non-coding RNA (SMIL_LNC007571)". Lineage: Eukaryota; Viridiplantae; Streptophyta; Magnoliopsida; Lamiales; Lamiaceae. The record is from RNAcentral.
AGCCUUUAAGCAAUCUUCACCCAAGUAUGUAGAGCAUCUCCUGCUGAAAUGGCUGGCAUCUUGCUUAGGAUCCGAGUUUGAAAUUUCUUGUAAAUUAUUGUCUGAAGCGUUUAAACUUCUGCCCAUGCUCUCAUCCCGUAAGUUGCACCUCAUAAACAUUAUCAGCAGGCAAGUCAUGCUUAAAGAAUUCACAACAGAGAGCAUGAGUGGCAAAGAGCAUGUAUUAGAUUUAGAAGGCUUAAGUGGCGACAAGAAGGAGCACAUAAAUUUGUGGAUGGACUUGCUACUUAGCUGUGAAAUGAACUCUUGUUGAGGCUUGUCAGUAUUAGUACUUCUGCCAUUUUAAGGCCACCAUCCAACUCAUCAGAAGAAUUUUCUGGAGUUGGGGUUGAUGGAUUGCCACAGAUGGAGCAGUGGGUUUCGCAAAAUGUGAAGGAUGAUUACANUGAAAGAAAUAUUUAUAAAUAAUACUAUAUGCUAAUGAGAUAGGGAAAUACAGUGAUCAUGCUUUACUAGGUAAUCAGCCUUGGGCAAAAUGGAUGGCUGUUCAACUGCCUUGAAUCUUGUUCUGAAAAAUUUAUGGUUCUUGUUUGCAGGUUCGCAGAUAUGAUGUUGAUCUAUUAGAUCCAAUGUAUGAGGGAAGGUGAGCUUUUAGACAUCUUUUUUUUUGGUAUCCUAUUGUUAUUAGAAACCUGCACUUCUGCAUAUUUAUGCGCCAAGGUACAUGGUGGUAUGUUCACCCUGUAUUUGCAUUUACCAAUAUUUUCUUAUUAUGUACUGUGGCAAAUCUCUUUGUAUUCUGCAAAACAUGUCAGAACUAAAUGCAGGAGUUUAGUCUGCACAUAGUAGUCGUUAACUGCCCCUUACAUAAAGCAAUAGAAUGAUAUUGACAUAAUAUUUUGAAGUGAGGAACCAGCUCAACCUUUUUCAUACUAUGAAGUAAUGUAGAAAUAUUGUCCUAAAUUUUUCAGAUCUCAUAAAGCUUCAGUUGAGUUCCUUUGGGUUGGAGGCCAACAAUUGGACCCUUCUGUUAUUACAUCUUCAGAGAUGAAAAAGGAAACAUUUCCUGGAUUCCCCGAGAAAGAACUGAUUUGGUGGGAAAAGAAUAUACUAUGGUGUUUGAACCAGUAUGAGAACCUCAACAGGCUUCUGAACAUUUUGGAUAUUGUGGCAGCUCUCCGAGCCUUCAAGCUAUCUUCACCCAAGUAUGUAGAGCAUAUCCUGCUGAAAUGGCUGGCUAUCUUAGCUUAGGUAUCCGAGUUUGAAAUUUCUUGUAAAUUAUUGUCUGAAGCGUUAAACUUACUGCCCACUGCUCUCAUCCCGUAACGUUGCACCUCAUAAACAUUAUCAGCAGGCAAGUCAUGCUUAAAGAAUUCACAACAGAGAGCAUGAGUGGCAAAGAGCAUGUAUUAGAUUUAGAAGGCUUAAGUGGUGACAAGAAGGAGCACAUAAA